AUAAGCCGGUGGGGUCUUGGCGUGCGUCCUGGUCCCGGAUGCGACAGCGGUGCAUCCCGAGAAGGUGGGUGUGCCGACGUAAGGCUACAUUGCAGGGUUGCAAGAAUCCCCACUCGCCUCAACUCAUCCAGCUGCCUGAUUCUGUCAGUUUGCGGUGAUUUGGAAAAGAAUGGUAUCCUUCCCGUCUCUGUCCCCCUUCCGCGCGUCCUUGCCAUCCCCCAUGGCACCUGUGGCUUCUGGGAAUUCCAGGAUGACGGGCUACACAGUCCUCUGCCUCCUAAGCUGCUCCCCCCUCGGGGACUCGGCCAUAGCAACACAGGACUGACCACGACCGGCCCGGGGCCGAGGCCUUGCUCUGAGCGUGUGCAGCGCCAUGGAAGACCACCGGCCCUCCCCACUUUUCCUGUGUCCGGGCCCUGGCCCCAGCCUCCCGGGGUCCACACAGGCCGGCUGCGCACUCCCAGCCCCGGCCCCGCUGCGACACCAGGCUGCACUCCCGGGGCCUUGCUGGGACUGGCAGUGAGGCUGGCCGGAGCCCCUCCACCUGGGAGCGCCUGGCACCCAGCCUGUCCUGAGGCUGCCACGCCCACCUCCCUCUGCCCCAUAGUCAAGCACCCCGCCCCUGCACCUCUGCACUUGAGCUCCCCGGCCCUGCUCCUUCUGUCGCUUGACUCCAGCAGACCCCGUCUUCAGUCUUGUUCACUGGGGGGGUGCAGGAGGGCAGGAGAGCACAGGGGGAAGGCGUCUCUCAAUUUUUUUUUUAAUUUUUUGACAGGCAGAGUGGACAGUGAGAGAGAGAGACAGAGAGAAAGGUCUUCCUUUGCCGUUGCUUCACCCUCCAAUGGCCGCUGCGGCCGGCGCACCGUGCUGAUCCGAAGGCAGGAGCCAGGUGCUUCUCCUGGUCUCCCAUGGGGUGCAGGGCCCAAGCACCUGGGCCAUCCUCCACUGCACUCCCAGGCCAUGGCAGAGAGCUGGCCUGGAAGAGGGGCAACCGGGACAGAAUCCGGCGCCCCGACCGGGACUAGAACCUGGUGUGCCGGCGCCGCAAGGUGGAGGAUUAGCCUAGUGAGCUGUGGCACCGGCCGGAAGGCGUCUCAAAACAGCAGAGAUGGAAUUCCAACCUCAGGAGUGGGCAGCCCUGGGAGCUGUGCUGGUGACGAGCUCAGAGGGGCCAGCCCAGGGCCAGGACACCUGGGGAACCGUCUGGGGAAGAGAUUGCUUCGGGGUGAAUGA
This 1233-nucleotide long non-coding RNA is filed under the name Oryctolagus cuniculus (rabbit). Its description in RNAcentral is "lncRNA (ENSOCUG00000031887.1)". Lineage: Eukaryota; Metazoa; Chordata; Mammalia; Lagomorpha; Leporidae. The record is from RNAcentral.